Molecule: long non-coding RNA, 1933 nt
Filed under: Sus scrofa (pig)
Lineage: Eukaryota; Metazoa; Chordata; Mammalia; Artiodactyla; Suidae
Description: lncRNA (ENSSSCG00045009421.1)
Source: RNAcentral
CAGAGAGAAGAAAUAGCAUGCUAAUGAAAAUGGCCUUGGAAACAAGAGACCGGAGGGUUGCAGUGGACAAAAUUACAUCUGUAAGAGGUUGAGUUUAAGGGAGCUGGGCAGCCCUGGAGGUAAAGGACUAGGGCUCAGGGCAGAAAGCCCGUCUGGCCUGAAGUGACUAAGACCUUGGGAGCCUCCUGCACAGAGAGGGAGGCUCUGGGGGAGGAAAAAGGGAGGAGACACAGAGCUGAGACUAAACUUUCUGGGCCACCUGCAUCUAAGAGGUGACGGGAAGAAGAGGGUUUGGUGAGGAGGCACAUGAAGAAGAGGAGGUGAGCAAGCCCCCUGAACGCCACGGAAACAACAGGGAGGAAGAAUUUCAGAAAGCAGAAAGGGGACCAUCAGCGAUGCCAAUGGCUGCAGGGAGGCCCAGAAGACAGUGGAUUUGUUUUAAGGAACGCCUUCUGGAUUUGGCCUUGGGCUAGAGUAAUAUUCUUGGAGCCCACAAACCCUAAGGCAUUGUUUUAUAAUUGCCAUUCAGCUCUUCUAAGCACUUUGCGAAAUGUGGGGCGAAACAGCUCUGGCCCUGCACGGAUUGUACAAGCAACAUGGAACAAAGCAACAAAGGAAAAUUAGAGGGAAGAAUGGUCUCAACUCCUGAGGCUGGCAACUUCUUAAUCCAAGCCUUCUAAUAACAACCACAGAGGAAUAUUUAAGUGUCUUGCAUGCCCCUUCAUUUCUUCCCUCUACUGCUUGUUUUGUGACCCAGAAAAUUUUACCAUCCUUGCAAGAAUAAAGGAGUGUCAGGUUUUCUUGCAGUAGAGAUGCUAUUCCUCAUCAAGGGAAAUGGAAACCAGAUUAAACUUUGUUCUGCAAUUUAAAAACAUAUCUCAAAUGAAUGCCAACAAAAAUUUCCCUGGCUCUAGUUGAAUUGCUUGUUUGUUUCUUUGUUUUUAAUGGUGUGCAAAGCAAACUGCUAGGGUAGCCCCUGGCUGCAAAAACCCUGAGAGGAUCCACAGAUCUUGUCAUACACUGGAUGGUCAGGGGAACGAAGCCCUGGGCUUUGCAUCAUCUUCCCCCACUUUAGUGCAAUUUGCCCUCAGCACACCGAGAAAAUGGAAAGUCAGCUUCUUAUGCUCAUACCAUUGUUUUCCGAAAUCUCAGUUCUAUAACUCACCUAUUGUGAACGCAAAAUAUAGGUUCACUUAACGUACAUUUGCAUGUAUGCUGGAGAAAGAAGAUGCCUAAAUUUGCAUGAUGCCUUAGAACACAGAAUCACAGGCUUGAUCUCCUUUAAUCCUUAUCCCUACUGUGUGAAGUAUCAUGACCCAAAGUUUACAGAUGAAGAUGAGGUUCAGAGAUGUUGAGACAUGGAGGAAGUCAAUGUCAAAGCCAGGACUUGAAGCAAGGUUAAAUUCCCCAGCAAGCCUACACCUACUUAACCCCAUGAUGUUGUCUCCAUAUCUGUAAUAUCGGGAACUUAAGAUUUGUUAUAAUUCAUAGUUACGGAAAGAUAGAUUUUAAAGUUUAACUCGCUAUAAAAAUGAAGCUUUCAAUGACUGGAGCUUACCUGAUACUAGCUAUGAUAUUAGAUGGCUUACGCACAUUAUUACACUUAACAAAGAUUCUGAGAAAAGAAAUAUCUUAGGGUGAAAGGCAGGGAGCUCAUCUUGAGGUAGGAAAGAGCUAAGGGUCUGUUGCAGGAUGCUACUGAUGGUCCACAGGAAAGAAUCCUUUUGGGUGGGACACAAAAUCUUGACUCUCAAAGGCUCAGAGCCACCUCUGGACCUCUGAGAGAUCUAUGAGAUGAAUGAAAAAGUGAGGCCACCUAGCUGUAACUGAGCUGUAUGAGAUGAUGGGUGGGGGAGGGGCAUCAAGGGCUCCUCAUGAAGGCCACUGGGUGGUGGGAAGGAAAAAGCUCUGCCACCAGGGUUCCAAGGGGCCU